GCGGAUAUGGCGUAAUUGGUAGCCGCGCCAGACUUAGGAUCUGGUGCCGCAAGGCGUGGGGGUUCGAGUCCCUCUAUCCGCA
RNAcentral lists this transfer RNA (82 nucleotides) under Chitinophagales bacterium. RNAcentral describes it as "tRNA-Leu". It matches the Rfam family "tRNA". From Rfam's summary of the family: Transfer RNA (tRNA) molecules are approximately 80 nucleotides in length. Their secondary structure includes four short double-helical elements and three loops (D, anti-codon, and T loops). Further hydrogen bonds mediate the characteristic L-shaped molecular structure. tRNAs have two regions of fundamental functional importance: the anti-codon, which is responsible for specific mRNA codon recognition, and the 3' end, to which the tRNAs corresponding amino acid is attached (by aminoacyl-tRNA synthetases). tRNAs cope with the degeneracy of the genetic code in two manners: having more than one tRNA (with a specific anti-codon) for a particular amino acid; and 'wobble' base-pairing, i.e. permitting non-standard base-pairing at the 3rd anti-codon position. The record is from RNAcentral. Lineage: Bacteria; Pseudomonadati; Bacteroidota; Chitinophagia; Chitinophagales.